RNAcentral lists this ribosomal RNA (314 nucleotides) under uncultured bacterium. RNAcentral describes it as "bacterial SSU rRNA". It matches the Rfam family "Bacterial small subunit ribosomal RNA", at positions 28 to 334 of the family's 1533-position model. The record is from RNAcentral.
GAUGAACGCUAGCUACAGGCUUAACACAUGCAAGUCGAGGGGCAGCAUGAACUUAGCUUGCUAAGUUUGAUGGCGACCGGCGCACGGGUGAGUAACACGUAUCCAACCUGCCGAUGACUCGGGGAUAGCCUUUCGAAAGAAAGAUUAAUACCCGAUGGCAUAGUUCUUCCGCAUGGUAGGACUAUUAAAGAAUUUCGGUCAUCGAUGGGGAUGCGUUCCAUUAGCUUGUUGGCGGGGUAACGGCCCACCAAGGCAUCGAUGGAUAGGGGUUCUGAGAGGAAGGGCCCCCACAUGGGAACUGAGACACGGUCCAA